RNAcentral lists this ribosomal RNA (253 nucleotides) under uncultured bacterium. RNAcentral's name for it is "partial 16S ribosomal RNA". It matches the Rfam family "Bacterial small subunit ribosomal RNA", at positions 524 to 776 of the family's 1533-position model. The record is from RNAcentral.
UACGGAGGGUGCAAGCGUUGUCCGGAUUUAUUGGGCGUAAAGAGUCUGUAGGCGUUUUGAUAAGUCACUCUUUAAAGACCCCAGCUCAACUGGGGGAAGGGGAGUGAUACUGUCAGAAUUGAAGAUUGUAGGGGCUACUGGAACUGUCGGUGUAGGGGUGAAAUCCGUUGAUAUCGACAGGAACUCCAAGGGCGAAGGCAAGUAGCUGGGCAAUUCUUGACGCUGAGAGACGAAAGCUAGGGUAGCGAAAGGG